Molecule: ribosomal RNA, 103 nt
Filed under: Escherichia coli
Lineage: Bacteria; Pseudomonadati; Pseudomonadota; Gammaproteobacteria; Enterobacterales; Enterobacteriaceae
Also listed under: 3 other names
Description: partial 16S ribosomal RNA
Rfam family: Bacterial small subunit ribosomal RNA (bases 1-91)
Source: RNAcentral
CGGGAGGGCGCUUACCACUUUGUGAUUCAUGACUGGGGUGAAGUCGUAACAAGGUAACCGUAGGGGAACCUGCGGUUGGAUCACCUCCUUACCUUAAAGAAGC